AUUGAACGCUGGCGGCAUGCCUUACACAUGCNNNNCGAACGGCAGCACGGACUUCGGUCUGGUGGCGAGUGGCGAACGGGUGAGUAAUGUAUCGGAACGUACCUUUCAGUGGGGGAUAACGUAGCGAAAGUUACGCUAAUACCGCAUAUUCUGUGAGCAGGAAAGCAGGGGAUCGCAAGACCUUGCGCUGAUUGAGCGGCCGAUAUCAGAUUAGCUAGUUGGUGAGGUAAAGGCUCACCAAGGCGACGAUCUGUAGCGGGUCUGAGAGGAUGAUCCGCCACACUGGAACUGAGACACGGUCCAGACUCCUACGGGAGGCAGCAGUGGGGAAUUUUGGACAAUGGGGGCAACCCUGAUCCAGCCAUGCCGCGUGAGUGAAGAAGGCCUUCGGGUUGUAAAGCUCUUUCGGCCGGGAAGAAAUCGCAUGGGUUAAUACCCUGUGCGGAUGACGGUACCGGCAUAAGAAGCACCGGCUAACUACGUGCCAGCAGCCGCGGUAAUACGUAGGGUGCGAGCGUUAAUCGGAAUUACUGGGCGUAAAGCGUGCGCAGGCGGUUUUUUAAGACAGGCGUGAAAUCCCCGGGCUCAACCUGGGAACUGCGCUUGUGACUGGAAGGCUAGAGUAUGGCAGAGGGGGGUGGAAUUCCACGUGUAGCAGUGNNNUGCGUAGAGAUGUGGAGGAACACCAAUGGCGAAGGCAGCCCCCUGGGCCAAUACUGACGCUCAUGCACGAAAGCGUGGGUAGCAAACAGGAUUAGAUACCCUNGUAGUCCACGCCCUAAACGAUGUCAACUAGGUGUUGGGUGGGUAAAACCAUUUAGUACCGGAGCUAACGCGUGAAGUUGACCGCCUGGGGAGUACGGCCGCAAGGUUAAAACUCAAAGGAAUUGACGGGGACCCGCACAAGCGGUGGAUGAUGUGGAUUAAUUCGAUGCAACGCGAAAAACCUUACCUACCCUUGACAUGUCCAGGAGCCUGAAGAGAUUUGGGUGUGCCCGAAAGGGAACUGGAACACAGGUGCUGCAUGGCUGUCGUCAGCUCGUGUCGUGAGAUGUUGGGUUAAGUCCCGCAACGAGCGCAACCCUUGUCGUUAAUUGCCAUCAUUUAGUUGGGCACUUUAACGAGACUGCCGGUGACAAACCGGAGGAAGGUGGGGAUGACGUCAAGUCCUCAUGGCCCUUAUGGGUAGGGCUUCACACGUCAUACAAUGGUCGGUACAAAGGGUUGCCAAGCCGCGAGGUGGAGCCAAUCCCAGAAAGCCGAUCGUAGUCCGGAUCGCAGGCUGCAACUCGCCUGCGUGAAGUCGGAAUCGCUAGUAAUCGUGGAUCAGCAUGUCACGGUGAAUACGUUCCCGGGUCU
RNAcentral lists this ribosomal RNA (1359 nucleotides) under uncultured soil bacterium. RNAcentral's name for it is "bacterial SSU rRNA". It matches the Rfam family "Bacterial small subunit ribosomal RNA", at positions 28 to 1381 of the family's 1533-position model. The record is from RNAcentral.